Molecule: non-coding RNA, 29 nt
Filed under: Mus musculus (house mouse)
Lineage: Eukaryota; Metazoa; Chordata; Mammalia; Rodentia; Muridae
Source: RNAcentral
UACCUAUGACUUGACUUUUGGCUACUUGG